This 330-nucleotide ribosomal RNA is filed under the name Triticum aestivum (bread wheat). RNAcentral describes it as "partial small subunit ribosomal RNA". The record is from RNAcentral. Lineage: Eukaryota; Viridiplantae; Streptophyta; Magnoliopsida; Poales; Poaceae.
AUGACGCGCAACACCACCUGCCAGAGCACCUCGUGGAAGCCCGAUCCAGCGAGGAUCCUUCACCACCCUCCACUCUCCGGUGACCACCAGCCCGCGUGCGGAUGGUGUGCUAUCCUGCAGAUCGAGGAGGCGUCGAACUUCAGAUGGAGGAGGCCACAACCUGCAGCUGGCCGCGCCAUGGUUGCGCGUCGCCGGCAUCCUCCGUCACGCUCGGCACCUCCUGAGCGUUGGAGUGAAGGUCGACUCGGCAUUUUCUUCAGGGCAGUGGAGAGCACCCUCACCCUGAUCCCAUCUGCAGCAGCGCCCCGAGUCCUCCCAAAGCAGCCUUGA